ACAAACGGUACAAUGCGCGCCGUCAUCAGGGAGUAGCCGCCCCCGCGCAAGCCGGGGGGACCACGUCAACAGACUUGCCCGUCGCGGGCAUGGCGUGUUCAGCCUUCGGGCCUGGCGAGACUUUUGGCUGCAUGCCCUCCGAUUGUUUCGGGCCGGGGAGGCGUGCGGUCAUCUGUCGUCGACCGGCCCGGAG
Molecule: small RNA, 193 nt
Filed under: Azoarcus sp.
Lineage: Bacteria; Pseudomonadati; Pseudomonadota; Betaproteobacteria; Rhodocyclales; Zoogloeaceae
Also listed under: 1 other name
Description: Manganese sequence
Rfam family: Manganese Mn2+ riboswitch aptamer (yybP-ykoY)
About the family: This RNA was originally discovered in E. coli during a large scale screen and was named SraF. The family was later found to exist upstream of related families of protein genes in many bacteria, including the the yybP and ykoK genes in B. subtilis.
Source: RNAcentral